CCUACGGGUGGCUGCAGUGGGGAAUAUUGGACAAUGGGCGAAAGCCUGAUCCAGCCAUGCCGCGUGUGUGAAGAAGGCCUUCGGGUUGUAAAGCACUUUCAGUGGGGAAGAAAGCCUUGGGGCUAAUACCCUCGAGGAAGGACAUCACCCACAGAAGAAGCACCGGCUAACUCCGUGCCAGCUGCCGCGGUAAUACGGAGGGUGCGAGCGUUAAUCGGAAUUACUGGGCGUAAAGCGCGCGUAGGCGGUCUGAUAAGCCGGUUGUGAAAGCCCCGGGCUCAACCUGGGAACGGCAUCCGGAACUGUCAGGCUAGAGUGCAGGAGAGGAAGGUAGAAUUCCCGGUGUAGCGGUGAAAUGCGUAGAGAUCGGGAGGAAUACCAGUGGCGAAGGCGGCCUUCUGGACUGACACUGACGCUGAGGUGCGAAAGCGUGGGUAGCAAACAGGAUUAGAUACCCGGGUAGUC
This 465-nucleotide ribosomal RNA is filed under the name Vreelandella stevensii. RNAcentral's name for it is "partial 16S ribosomal RNA". It matches the Rfam family "Bacterial small subunit ribosomal RNA", at positions 338 to 795 of the family's 1533-position model. The record is from RNAcentral. Lineage: Bacteria; Pseudomonadati; Pseudomonadota; Gammaproteobacteria; Oceanospirillales; Halomonadaceae.